This is a long non-coding RNA of Zingiber officinale, 3995 nucleotides long. RefSeq lists it as uncharacterized. Lineage: Eukaryota; Viridiplantae; Streptophyta; Magnoliopsida; Zingiberales; Zingiberaceae. The record is from RefSeq and is a predicted model, not a curated record. The transcript has 3 exons.
UAAUAUUAUUUGGGAAUUUCACUUUUACAUCUCAGCUUCUAUGAACUAGUCAUCUUCUUUCCCCAAAUUGAUCAGGCUCCGUGCUCCAUUUCUAUGGUUCCGAUCAAGAGAGAGAAGUCUGAGGGGAGCGACAUGGAUUGGGGAAACGUGACCGCAGAGGACCUGAUCGACGCCCUUCGGGAAGUGGAUUGGUCCGCUCCCCCGCGCCGCGCCUCAUAUCGGAGUUCCUCUCCCGAUUCACCUUCCCCAAUCUUACUCCAAAUGGAGCAGUAGAUUCAAAUGCAACCUUUACUAGUAAGAUAGCUCUAAUGAUGUAAUUGUUCCUCGAAUUUGUUUCGUUCGAUGUGUUCGGAUUGCCUUUGAAUUUUUGGUUUUGAUGUUAUGAUGAUGAUACCUUUUGUGGAUUCUGUUGAUUUAUUCCUAAAAUGAGCAACUUUGUUUUUUGUGUGGAAGUUUUUAUUCCAUCGCUAAAGACGUAUAGUAUGAUUUUAGAUGUCCUUGUGCCCCUUAGGAAUUAGGAUACUGAAAUUUUAUGUUUUGUCUUAUUUUUAAUAAUGUUUAUGCGAAAGUUUAUCUUCCUUGCGAAAUUCUUUUGCAGCUACAGGACUAACUACUUCAUUCUUAUCGUAUUCGUUUUGGUAAGAAAAUUCGCUAGGCCGUGCAUAGUUUCGUUGAUGUUAUUAAGUUACAGGAUGUGUUAUUUUGCCCCUCCUAAUACUCUUUUUUCUGCACUUCUUACUACAGCAGUGGGAUUUCUUUUGAACCCUCUCGCUAUUAUAUCAGCACUGGUUUAAGCGUUGCGUUUUUAAAUGAUAGGUAAGGCUCUGCCCAUAAAUAGGUUGCUUCAGAACCAUACUGGUAGACACUAAAUUUUCAUACACUAAGGAAGAGCGAUAUUUAUCAAAAAAAAACGAAGAAGAAGAAGAAGAAGAAGUUAAGAUGGCAUCUGCUCGAUAGCAGAUGACUGAGAUAAGAGCAUUAGCAUUGAUUGCAUUGUAUUAGUUCUCCACAUUUGAUCCUUGGCAUAACUUGAUAGUACAUCAAAUCCUUUUUCAUUUAGGUGGGUGUUGCUAUGUUAAUUUCCAAUUUCCAUGUUAUAUAACAGUUAUUUAUUAUAAUGUUGUAAUUUACUAGAAUGGAUAAGGCAAUUGCCUAUUCCUAUGGUUGGAGGCUUUGCAAAGAUGAUUUGUCUUCCACCUAAGGAACUGAAAUUCAGUAUCCACCUUUCAUCUUAAUCACAUGAUGCUAUUCCAUCAGAACCUUCUCCCUUUUCAUUUAUGUUGUGAAAUGUUGGUCAAUUUCCUACAAGAAAUAUCACAAAAGGCCAAUUUCUUAGCCGCUUGUCUAAUAAGAGGUUAUUGGAAGAAGGGAUCAUGUGGUGUGCGCCACCUUGAUCAUUUAAUAUAUUUUGACAUUGGGUGCUAAAAUCACAUUUGAGUCUACAUGCUUGUGGUCACAUUUUCUGUUUGGUUAUGUAGAUUUAUUUUACUUAUACUAGUGUUGUGCAUUGGUAUCCUUUUAUGUUUCUAGAUUAAAGUAUGUCAACAAAUCUUUCCUCUUGUAACUUGAACAUCCUAUCCACAAGAAUAAACUAGACUAGAUAUUGGUCUUUUGGAUGUUUCAGGUAGAUGGCUCCUUAGCAGAUGUAAAGAUGGUUUCUAUAGGUAUAAUAGUUUCCUUGUCUAUUUCACAAUUGAAUUUUUGGUACCUCAAGAACCAAGUUUUCCUUAUUGAACAUCAAAAUAAAAUUUUAAAACUCAGCUUUUUGUUGGAGCUCACAUGGGCUUACAUUGUAGGCAAAAAUUUAAUAAUACCUUUGUGCCUUUUAUUGUAAUAUACUUAUCUAAACAUUAAUCAAUGUGAACAGAACUAAUGAUGCCAUGAUAAUUAAAACCAACCAUAUAAGUUGAUCGAAACAAUAUAUAAGCCAAUACGUAAAAGGGCUCCUGCUUACAAUACUUCUGUCAUCGGUGUCUGAAGCUUGCUAAGAGGUUUUGCAGCAGAUGCUUUUCCUUCCGUUUAAGGAAUUGAAAUUCAGUCUCCAAUUUUCUUUCUUGAAGCACAUUUGACUCCUUGAUCAGGUUCUUAUUAUUUUCUUUUCUCUAGUGAAAUGCAGGUCAAUUUCAUAUCACACCUUUUCUCGACCACUUUCAUCUAUAGGAGGAAAUUGGAAUCAGAGAUCAAAAUAUUGUUUGUAUCAACUAUAUAUCUACUCUAAAUGACAUUUUGACAUUGGUGGUAGAAGCAAAUUGAAUAUUUAUGCAGAUGCACAAUUUUCAUCCACCAGAAUUUCUGAUCAAUUAUUACACUAAUUUAAAUUACUGACAUUUCACAUUGUUUUUCCUUCGCGUUGCAAGGUUAUAAAGUAUGUCAAAAUAUGUCAUCUUUCUUGUAACUCAAAGACACUCGACCACACAAAGAACUGGAUUAGAUGUACUUCUUGUGGAUUUUCAUAAAUCUCCUUUCUCAUUGAACAACAAUUUUGUUUUUUAGCUCAAACUUGUCAUUGGAGCUUCCAUGGACUUGAAUUAUCAAUAAAUUGCUAUGUUUCGGAUAGUUUUUUAGGAUGAAAAAGAAAAAAAGACAUGUUUGUGUAUCUGUUUGUCAUGAUUUCAUCUUAUACAUGGCUUCAUGUGGAAAAAAAAAAUGCGGAAUGAUGCCUUUUCAGUCAUUGAUAAUAGAAAUGAGCUUAGGAAUUGGUCAAACCAAUAUUUAAAAGAGUGGAUGUCCUAUCUACACUGCUGCUGCCAAAGAGUUCUAGAAGUUAAGAUGGUAUUUUAUUUAACUGGGAAUCUGUGAUCUUGGUCAUCCAAGUUGCCAUAAGCAUUUGAUUUAUGGGCCUCUACUUAGCAAACAUAUAAUAAUUCUCUUUUAGACAACUGACAUUUUUUCCAGUGAUCAGGAUAUUGAUUUUGCUGAAAUUGUAUGUCUAAAAUUCUGAAUAAUGUUUUACAGUUGUUUGGAGUGAUCUAUUCAAUGAUUUAAAUGAGUUAUCAAGGUUGUGAACUUAACAUUAAAAAAUUAGUUGUGAUAUAUAAUUGUUAGUAUGCAAACAAGUUCAUCUUAGAGAUGAUUUUUGAUGUACAAAUAGAAACAACCAUUCUCAUUAGCGAGAAUGAAUCCUUAUGAGAGAACUUUCUAGUUUGGUGUUUCUUUUUUUCCCUUUGGCAUGUAGUAGUAGUUUUGUGCUAGUAUAUAUUAACUGCAAGUACGAUUUUGUACUGACAUACAAUUGUUUGUCUUUGAGGUUAAUUUUACAUUUCUUUUGAAGCUAAGAUCAACGGAGAAACAAGGUAGUGAAUCUGCUAACAGUAUCUUAAUUAUGUAAUGUGAAAACUAGAUGCUGCUUCUUCAUCUUCUUUUAAUGUAUACUUCAAUAUUAGUACCAGAGUAUUCUUCCCUGUUACUUCCUCUAAAUUGAAUAACUUCAUAGCUUUGCAGUUACUUUUAAUGAGAAAAUCACAAGGACUGUCAGACAAUUUUCUCCUCAUCUAGCUGCUGCAAAGUUGAGGCCGCCUAAGAACUUAGUAUUCUCUAGAGCUUAGUUAAUAUUAUCUCACCUUUAUCUUUCUUUCGUGUCAAUUAUAUAAUGACAUAGCCCUGUAAUUCGGGGAUGACCAUCAAUGAAAAGAGCAAUCCAUAUAUGUGAUCAGCCUCGCUGGGUGUUUGUCUUAUCUUCAGUCACUAGCUGCAUCCUAUGGUUGACAUCCUGUAACCUGCUAACAGUAGUGUGGGCACUCACCAUUGGGCUACUAGCAUCAAUACUUCAUGCAAGUUUCCAAUCACCCAACCUGAAAGCACGCCUUAAUACAUUAUGUGAGGAAUUUGGUGCAGUGUGGUGCAAUUACAGUGAGCUGUGAUCGCAUAGGUGAAAAUAUGUUCUUUCUCAUAAUUGUGAUGUUCUAUCCUCUUAUCUGCAGUGCAAGAUAGAAAGAUGUGACACUGGAUAUUGAGUACGACUUAAUCAUUGAGGUUUCUUAAGCUUUUAUACUACA